RNAcentral lists this ribosomal RNA (1236 nucleotides) under metagenome. RNAcentral's name for it is "bacterial LSU rRNA". It matches the Rfam family "Bacterial large subunit ribosomal RNA", at positions 1699 to 2925 of the family's 2925-position model. The record is from RNAcentral.
CCUCGGAGAAGGAACUCGGCAAAUUGACACCGUAACUUCGGAAGAAGGUGUGCCUUUAGUAGGUGAACCAUUUACUUGGGGAGCCCAAUGAGGCCGCAGAGAAUCGGUGGCUGCAACUGUUUAUUAAAAACACAGCACUCUGCAAAGACGAAAGUCGACGUAUAGGGUGUGACUCCUGCCCGGUGCUGGAAGAUUAAAUGAUGGGGUGCAAGCUCUUGACUGAAGUCCCAGUAAACGGCGGCCGUAACGAUAACGGUCCUAAGGUAGCGAAAUUCCUUGUCGGGUAAGUUCCGACCUGCACGAAUGGAGUAAUGAUGGCCACACUGUCUCCUCCAGAGACUCAGCGAAGUUGAAAUGUUUGUGAUGAUGCAAUCUCCCCGCGGAAAGACGGAAAGACCCCAUGAACCUUUACUGUAGCUUUACAUUGGACUUUGAACAGAUCUGUGUAGGAUAGGUGGGAGGCUUUGAAACCAGGACGCUAGUUUUGGUGGAGCCAACGUUGAAAUACCACCCUGGUGUGUUUGAGGUUCUAACCUUGGCCCGUUAUCCGGGUCGGGGACAGUGUAUGGUGGGCAGUUUGACUGGGGCGGUCUCCUCCCAAAGUGUAACGGAGGAGUUCGAAGGUACGCUAAAUACGGUCGGAAAUCGUGUUGAUAGUGCAUUGGCAUAAGCGUGCUUGACUGCGAGACUGACAAGUCGAGCAGGUACGAAAGUAGGACAAAGUGAUCCGGUGGUUCUGUAUGGAAGGGCCAUCGCUCAACGGAUAAAAGGUACUCUGGGGAUAACAGGCUGAUACCGCCCAAGAGUUCAUAUCGACGGCGGUGUUUGGCACCUCGAUGUCGGCUCAUCUCAUCCUGGGGCUGUAGCCGGUCCCAAGGGUAUGGCUGUUCGCCAUUUAAAGAGGUACGUGAGCUGGGUUUAAAACGUCGUGAGACAGUUUGGUCCCUAUCUUCCGUGGGCGCUGCAAGAUUGAGAGAGCCUGCUCCUAGUACGAGAGGACCGGAGUGGACGCACCUCUGGUGUAUCGGUUGUCACGCCAGUGGCAUUGCCGAGUAGCUAAGUGCGGAAGAGAUAACCGCUGAAAGCAUCUAAGCGGGAAACUCGUCUCAAGAUGAGUCUUGCCGGGGCCUUGAGCCCCCUGAAGAGUCGUUCGAGACCAGGACGUUGAUAGGCUGGGUGUGGAAGCGCAGUAAUGCGUUAAGCUAACCAGUACUAAUUGCUCGUGAGGCUUGACCC